UUUUAGAAUCCUCCAUUGAGGAGGUGAGAUAGUUAUAAAUAAGAGGUGACCUUAUUUGAUCAAACCAUCGAAUGAGAUAGAAUCCAAUCCAAAGCCAUCCUAAUAAAAACAUUUUUCAAAAGUUCUCUUAUAAAGAUUUCUUGUGUAAUACGUACAGAGCAUUUAUUUUUUAAGUGUUAUCUUGUUUCUUAAUAAACUUAGUAAUUUUCUAAGAA
This 215-nucleotide long non-coding RNA is filed under the name Panax ginseng (ginseng). RNAcentral's name for it is "long non-coding RNA (PGIN_LNC008585)". The record is from RNAcentral. Lineage: Eukaryota; Viridiplantae; Streptophyta; Magnoliopsida; Apiales; Araliaceae.